ACCAAGGCGACGACGGGUAGCCGGCCUGAGAGGGUGACCGGCCACACUGGGACUGAGAUACGGCCCAGACUCCUACGGGAGGCAGCAGUGGGGAAUAUUGCACAAUGGGCGCAAGCCUGAUGCAGCGACGCCGCGUGAGGGAUGAAGGCCUUAGGGUUGUAAACCUCUUUUAGCAGGGAAGAAGCGAAAGUGACGGUACCUGCAGAAAAAGCACCGGCUAACUACGUGCCAGCAGCCGCGGUAAUACGUAGGGUGCAAGCGUUGUCCGGAAUUAUUGGGCGUAAAGAGCUCGUAGGCGGUUUGUCGCGUCUGCUGUGAAAAUCCGAGGCUCAACCUCGGACCUGCAGUGGGUACGGGCAGACUAGAGUGCGGUAGGGGAGAUGGGAAUUCCUGGUGUAGCGGUGGAAUGCGCAGAUAUCAGGAGGAACACCAAUGGCGAAGGCACACCUCUGGGCCGUAACUGACGCUGAGGAGCGAAAGCGUGGGGAGCGAACAGGAUUAGAUACCCUGGUAGUCCACGCCGU
Molecule: ribosomal RNA, 524 nt
Filed under: uncultured Microbacteriaceae bacterium
Lineage: Bacteria; Bacillati; Actinomycetota; Actinomycetes; Micrococcales; Microbacteriaceae
Description: bacterial SSU rRNA
Rfam family: Bacterial small subunit ribosomal RNA
Source: RNAcentral